GGGGUGCACCAGGCGCGAAAACUUUACAAUGCUGGAAACAGCGAUAAGGGGACCUCGAGUGCCAGGUUACAAAUCUGGCUGUCGUGAUGCCUAAAAAGCAUUGCAUAGCAAGGGCCGGGCAAGACCGGUGCCAGCCGCCGCGGUAACACCGGCGGCUCGAGUGGUAACCGUUAUUAUUGGGUCUAAAGGGUCUGUAGCCGGCCGGAUAAGUCUCUUGGGAAAUCCAGCAGCUCAACUGUUGGGCUUUCAGGAGAUACUGUCUGGCUCGAGGCCGGGAGAGGUGAGAGGUACUUCAGGGGUAGGGGUGAAAUCUUGUAAUCCUUGAAGGACCACCAGUGGCGAAGGCGUCUCACCAGAACGGACCUGACGGCAAGGGACGAAAGCUAGGGGCACGAACCGGAUUAGAUACCCGGGUAGUCCUAGCCGUAAACGAUACUCGCUAGGUGUCGGCCACGGUGCGACCGUUGUCGGUGCCGUAGGGAAGCCGUGAAGCGAGCCACCUGGGAAGUACGGCCGCAAGGCUGAAACUUAAAGGAAUUGGCGGGGGAG
This 549-nucleotide ribosomal RNA is filed under the name uncultured archaeon. RNAcentral's name for it is "bacterial SSU rRNA". It matches the Rfam family "Archaeal small subunit ribosomal RNA", at positions 327 to 876 of the family's 1478-position model. The record is from RNAcentral.